This 409-nucleotide ribosomal RNA is filed under the name bacterium enrichment culture clone ALO1_GLFRUDD03HFNWL. RNAcentral's name for it is "bacterial SSU rRNA". It matches the Rfam family "Bacterial small subunit ribosomal RNA", at positions 9 to 418 of the family's 1533-position model. The record is from RNAcentral.
GAGUUUGAUCUUGGCUCGGAUUGAACGCUGGCGGCAUGCCUUACACAUGCAAGUCGAACGGCAGCACGGGAGCUUGCUCCUGGUGGCGAGUGGCGAACGGGUGAGUAAUGCAUCGGAACGUAUCCUGGAGUGGGGGAUAACGUAGCGAAAGUUACGCUAAUACCGCAUAUUCUGUGAGCAGGAAAGCGGGGGACCUUCGGGCCUCGCGCUCUUGGAGCGGCCGAUGUCGGAUUAGCUAGUUGGUGAGGUAAAGGCUCACCAAGGCGACGAUCCGUAGCAGGUCUGAGAGGAUGAUCUGCCACACUGGAACUGAGACACGGUCCAGACUCCUACGGGAGGCAGCAGUGGGGAAUUUUGGACAAUGGGGGCAACCCUGAUCCAGCCAUGCCGCGUGAGUGAAGAAGGCCUU